AUUGAACGCUGGCGGCAGGCCUAACACAUGCAAGUCGAACGGCAGCACAGAAGAGCUUGCUCUUUGGGUGGCGAGUGGCGGACGGGUGAGUAAUGUCUGGGAAACUGCCCGAUGGAGGGGGAUAACUACUGGAAACGGUAGCUAAUACCGCAUAACGUCGCAAGACCAAAGUGGGGGACCUUCGGGCCUCACACCAUCGGAUGGGCCCAGAUGGGAUUCGCUAGUAGGUGGGGUAAUGGCUCACCUAGGCGACGAUCCCUAGCUGGUCUGAGAGGAUGACCAGCCACACUGGAACUGAGACACGGUCCAGACUCCUACGGGAGGCAGCAGUGGGGAAUAUUGCACAAUGGGCGCAAGCCUGAUGCAGCCAUGCCGCGUGUAUGAAGAAGGCCUUCGGGUUGUAAAGUACUUUCAGCGGGGAGGAAGGCGGUGAGGUUAAUAACCUUGCCGAUUGACGUUACCCGCAGAAGAAGCACCGGCUAACUCCGUGCCAGCAGCCGCCGUAA
Molecule: ribosomal RNA, 506 nt
Filed under: uncultured bacterium
Lineage: Bacteria
Description: partial 16S ribosomal RNA
Rfam family: Bacterial small subunit ribosomal RNA
Source: RNAcentral